AUACGGAGGGUGCAAGCGUUGUCCGGAUUUAUUGGGUUUAAAGGGUGCGUAGGCGGGUUAUUAAGUCAGUGGUGAAAGUCUGCGGCUCAACCGUAGGAGUGCCAUUGAAACUGGUAAUCUUGAGUACCGUUGAGGUAUGCGGAAUUUAUGGUGUAGCGGUGAAAUGCAUAGAUACCAUAAAGAACACCGAUAGCGAAGGCAGCAUACUAACCGGUAACUGACGCUGAGGCACGAAAGCAUGGGGAGCGAACAGGAUUAGAUACCCCGGUAGUCC
RNAcentral lists this ribosomal RNA (274 nucleotides) under uncultured bacterium. RNAcentral's name for it is "partial 16S ribosomal RNA". It matches the Rfam family "Bacterial small subunit ribosomal RNA", at positions 523 to 796 of the family's 1533-position model. The record is from RNAcentral.